Daedalea quercina L-15889 is the source of this 101-nucleotide transfer RNA. It matches the Rfam family "tRNA". Rfam says of the family: Transfer RNA (tRNA) molecules are approximately 80 nucleotides in length. Their secondary structure includes four short double-helical elements and three loops (D, anti-codon, and T loops). Further hydrogen bonds mediate the characteristic L-shaped molecular structure. tRNAs have two regions of fundamental functional importance: the anti-codon, which is responsible for specific mRNA codon recognition, and the 3' end, to which the tRNAs corresponding amino acid is attached (by aminoacyl-tRNA synthetases). tRNAs cope with the degeneracy of the genetic code in two manners: having more than one tRNA (with a specific anti-codon) for a particular amino acid; and 'wobble' base-pairing, i.e. permitting non-standard base-pairing at the 3rd anti-codon position. The record is from Rfam. Lineage: Eukaryota; Fungi; Basidiomycota; Agaricomycetes; Polyporales; Fomitopsidaceae.
GCCCGCCUAGCUCAAUCGGAUAGAGCGUCAGACUCUUAAGGCGUGGUGACUUGCGCAUUAGCGUAAUCUGAAGGCUGCGAGUUCGACCCUCGCGGUGGGCU